RNAcentral lists this small RNA (421 nucleotides) under Pongo abelii (Sumatran orangutan). Its description in RNAcentral is "retained intron". The record is from RNAcentral. Lineage: Eukaryota; Metazoa; Chordata; Mammalia; Primates; Hominidae.
ACUGAGGGAUGACUGUACUUAAAAAAUAGGCACACAAUCUCAUGAGUUAUCGUCACUUACGUACGAAAGCUUUUCUGGUUGUAAUUGUUGUUUUGUCAUGAAGAUAUUAAAGCCUUGGUCUCAAAUAAUUUUUAGGGAAUUAUUUCUUUUUUUUCUUUUUUUUUUUUUUGAGAUGGAAUCUCCCUCUGUCGCCCGGGCUGGAGUGCAGUGGCACGAUCUCGGCUUACCGCAACCUCCGCCUCCUGGGUUCAAACAAUUCUCCUGCCUCGGCCUCCUGAGUAGCUGGGAUUACAGGAAUCAAGUUUGCUAAGAGACCACCAGUGCUGAAUGCACUUUGUUCUGGCAAGAGCAGAAAACUGAGAAGCCGUGUUACCUACCACUACCUGGGAUACAUUCAGGGAGCAGGAGUAUUCUGGAUAUG